Long non-coding RNA from Homo sapiens (human), 915 nucleotides. Ensembl annotates it as long intergenic non-protein coding RNA 1312. The record is from Ensembl. NCBI's taxonomy places the organism in Eukaryota, Metazoa, Chordata, Mammalia, Primates, Hominidae.
GUACAUGAAAACAGCGGCCCACCCAAAGUUUGUCUUUUCCUAGGAAGUUAUAGAGAAAUGAGGAGGUAACAGAAGAGCAGUCAAUAAAAGAAAAAUUUCUUUAAAAGACAUAUGGGUGGGAUGAGAACGAAUGAUUCUUACUUUAUCUGUAGAAAUUGAAUUUUGCUGCAACUAAGAGAGACCUCGAAAAUAGUGAUUUACACAAAUAAAAUUUUGUUCCAUCAAGAAAACUGAUAUUCAGCAGUCCAGGCUGAUGCAGUGGCUUCAAGAGCUCUUCAGCAACCCAGGCACCUUCCAGGUCUUCUUUCCCAAUUCUAGUGCUAGUAACUCCUUCAUCUCAUCACCCAACAUGGCUACCAGAGCUCCAGACAUCACGUGUACAUCUGAGUUCCAGGAAACCAGACAGAGGGAGAAAAGAAGGGCAUGCACGCUCACUUUAAAGAAGACUUCUAAGAAGAACCACCUAAAAUUCCCCAACCUAGUCCCAAAGCUCACUUGGCUGCUUUCAAGCCUGGAAAAUGCAGUCUUUAAGCUGAAAAAUGCUAUGACAAAAUCAGAGAUUGAUCAUGCCUACAAUGACAACUGGAAAACAGAAAUGAAACCAUAUAAGCCAAGCACUCACGCAAUCUUUGUCCUCCCAGUUGACUUAAGAACACUUGUGAAGAAAAUGUGGCGUCUUUAGAUCUCAGGAACUGUUGGUGUCCCUACUUUCCAGAUGGAGAAGUUGAAGCCCGGAGAACUCAACUUGAAAGUACAACCUGCUGGCCUAAACAAGAUGCUGUGCCUUGUAUUUCAACCCAAAGAAUAAGAUGGAGAUGGAGACGAAUGAGAGGCAUGCAAAUCAUAAAAGUCCACAGAAUCUUGUACAUUACUUGAUACAUGGAAUGUACUAAUAAAUAUUUGCUAAAUGAAAAA